GGGCGUGUACCCAAGUGGCCAAAGGGGGCAGACUGUAAAUCUGCUGGCAAUGCCUUCGCUGGUUCGAAUCCAGCCGCGCCCA
RNAcentral lists this transfer RNA (82 nucleotides) under Phycisphaeraceae bacterium. RNAcentral's name for it is "tRNA-Tyr". It matches the Rfam family "tRNA". From Rfam's summary of the family: Transfer RNA (tRNA) molecules are approximately 80 nucleotides in length. Their secondary structure includes four short double-helical elements and three loops (D, anti-codon, and T loops). Lineage: Bacteria; Pseudomonadati; Planctomycetota; Phycisphaerae; Phycisphaerales; Phycisphaeraceae. RNAcentral also lists the same sequence under 1 other name. The record is from RNAcentral.